This 99-nucleotide ribosomal RNA is filed under the name uncultured bacterium. RNAcentral describes it as "partial 16S ribosomal RNA". It matches the Rfam family "Bacterial small subunit ribosomal RNA", at positions 392 to 508 of the family's 1533-position model. The record is from RNAcentral.
CGACACCGCGUGAAGGAUGAAGGAUUUGUUUCUGUAAACUUCUUUUCUGUGGGACGAUAAUGACGGUACCACAGGAAUAAGGGACGGCUAACUACGUGC